CGCGUGGGAACCUGCCCCUGGGUACGGGACAACGUCUGGAAACGGGCGCUAAUACCGUAUACGUCCUUCGGGAGAAAGAUUUAUCGCCCUGGGAGGGGCCCGCGUCCGAUUAGCUUGUUGGUGGGGUAAUGGCCUACCAAGGCGACGAUCGGUAGCUGGUCUGAGAGGAUGAUCAGCCACACUGGGACUGAGACACGGCCCAGACUCCUGCGGGAGGCAGCAGUAGGGAAUAUUGGACAAUGGGGGCAACCCUGAUCCAGCAAUGCCGCGUGUGUGAUGAAGGCCUUAGGGUUGUAAAGCACUUUCACUGGUGAAGAUGAUGACGGUAUCCAGAGAAGAAGCCCCGGCUAACUCCGUGCCAGCAGCCGCGGUAAUACGGAGGGGGCAAGCGUUGUUCGGAAUUACUGGGCGUAAAGGGCGUGCAGGCUGUGAUUUAAGUUGGGCGUGAAAGCCCCGGGCUCGACCCCGGAAUUGCGCUUGAUACUGGAUCACUU
Molecule: ribosomal RNA, 494 nt
Filed under: uncultured bacterium
Lineage: Bacteria
Description: bacterial SSU rRNA
Rfam family: Bacterial small subunit ribosomal RNA
Source: RNAcentral